Molecule: transfer RNA, 100 nt
Filed under: Acidobacteriota bacterium
Lineage: Bacteria; Pseudomonadati; Acidobacteriota
Description: tRNA-Pro
Source: RNAcentral
GGGGGUGUGGUGAAAAUAGCAGCCACGCGCGAUUAGGAAUCGUGUGAGCCGUCCAUGUCAAGGGUUGCGGCUCGUGCGGGUGCAAGCCCCGUCACCCCCA